Molecule: ribosomal RNA, 75 nt
Filed under: Caerostris darwini
Lineage: Eukaryota; Metazoa; Arthropoda; Arachnida; Araneae; Araneidae
Source: RNAcentral
AAUCACCGAAGUUAAGCAUCAUUGGGCGCGGUCAGUACUUGGGUGGGUGACCACCUGGGAACACCCCGUGCCGUU